CCUACGGGAGGCAGCAGUGGGGAAUAUUGGUCAAUGGGCGCAAGCCUGACCCAGCAACGCCGCGUGAAGGAUGAAGGCUUUCCGGUUGGAAACUUCUUUUUACAUGGAAGUGCAGUAGACCGUACCUGUCUAAUAAUCCACGGCUAACUACUUACCAUCAGCCGCGGUCAUACGGAGGUGGCAGGCGUUGUCCGGAUUUCCUGGGUGUAACGGGCGUGUAGCCGGGGUGAAAAGUCAGAUGUGAAAUCCGGGGGCUCAACCGCCGAACUGCAUUUGAAACUGUUGGUCUUGAGUAUAGGAGAGGCAGGCGGAAUUCCUAGUGUAGCGGUGAAAUGCGUAGAUAUUAGGAGGAACACCAGUGGCGAAGGCGGCUUGCUGGACGACAACUGACGGUGAGGCGCGAAAGCGUGGGGAGCAAACAGGAUUAGAUACCCCAGUAGUC
Molecule: ribosomal RNA, 442 nt
Filed under: uncultured bacterium
Lineage: Bacteria
Description: partial 16S ribosomal RNA
Rfam family: Bacterial small subunit ribosomal RNA
Source: RNAcentral